Cyprinus carpio carpio is the source of this 987-nucleotide long non-coding RNA. The record is from Ensembl. NCBI's taxonomy places the organism in Eukaryota, Metazoa, Chordata, Actinopteri, Cypriniformes, Cyprinidae.
AAUUUGAACUUCAAACGAGAACUUUGUACUAAAAAGAGCCUGUGUGUGUACAUCUACAACAAGACACUGAUGCUGCUUUCAACACGCAGCGCUCAUGUAUAUCUGAAGACCACCUUCCCAGAGAAUGAGAGCGCUCUCUAGUGGUCACAACUAACUAAAGAACUACACUACAGCACUUUUGACAAGGGCUUGACUGGACUGAUUACGCGGUCACCACACCCCGAACCCUUUCCUUCACAUGAUGCCUCGGGCUACAACGCCACACCCCACGAAAGUGCUCCCCCUCCUGAGUGGGACGGUCUCUGUGCAGGUGGGACAGUCACAGGUCAAUCAUGAAAACUUUGGUCAUCUGGGACAUUAAGAGAGUGUUGGAACCGGAGCCCAGAGGUCUGAUGUCGGAGUGAGAAGCUAUUGUUCAGCGCUACACACAAUCUGACCAAUCUGACCCUGCUUGCUGCUCAAAACACAACUGCUCCGUUUCUUUAUCAUUUACAUCUGGAGCACAAACAGUCCAGGAUGAAUUACACAUUGAACUUUAAUAAUAGAAGUUUUCACAAACUCCGGAGAUUUUGAGAUUUGCAUGUGUCGUAUCUUCAACUUUAUGCACAAUAACCUUCAAAGCAUGCAGGAAAACACAGACUCUUGUAUUCCAACAUUCUUCUUGAGUCUAAAUCCAGUUUUCCAUGAUGCAACUCUCACACAAACACACACACUCUCUCAAUGUGUUUUUAAUCUCAAAUCCCAAAGCGUGCAAAAUGUACACAAUCCCUUGCAGAUCCUUUUCUAAAGGGCAGAAACGGAGACGAGAAACAAGAGCCAUGUUCUCUGGUGCCCUGGGCCGAACGGAUGGAGAACGUGAAGGAAAAUACAGAAGAACAUUCACAAAGAGACAAUCGAUGAUGCAUUUUGUUUGUAUGAGGGUUUAUUACAACACAUUGUUCCUAAAACUGGCCUGGAAAAUUGUUUGGCUGAACAGCAAAGUAAGAC